RNAcentral lists this ribosomal RNA (1119 nucleotides) under Triticum aestivum (bread wheat). RNAcentral describes it as "partial small subunit ribosomal RNA". Lineage: Eukaryota; Viridiplantae; Streptophyta; Magnoliopsida; Poales; Poaceae. The record is from RNAcentral.
AUGGGCGCGAGCGCGGAUCGCCGUCGCCGCUGCCCGCUCCUCUUCUACUGCCCCACGAGCGCGGAUUUCAGUCGCCGCCAUCCGCUCCUACUCUACUGCCCCAUGGACGUGAGCAUGGGCCGUCGUCGCCGCCUACCGCUCUCCUCUGCUGCCCCAUGGACGCGGGCAAGUACCAUUUGUUCUACGACACUACCAUCUGACAGGAUUUUUUUACAUUUACUUGAGUGUAUUGGAUUGGGUAAACUAAUUAGCCCUAUGUAUCAGUUUCUGGUGUGCGAUUCUAAUGUUCUUAACUCAUCAGGCCGGGCUACUGAGUAUACAUAUUGUGUUCAUCUCGCCUUCCUUCUUAGGAAAAAUCAUGUACUGAAGAGAGUAGAAACAUCGCAUGCAGAAAUCUUCAAGAAAGAUGUGAUUGAAGUUGUAACCGAUGAAAUGCCUGCUGGUGAAGCUAUCAUGGAUCCAACUCACCACCUAAUUGGCGACAAAGCCUGGCUCCACAUGGUUCUACCACUGCUCUCACACAUGGUGUUCGGGCUACUUCCACCAGUGCUCUGCGGGUUGUCGUUCCGCGAGAGUAACGACAGGGAGAACAAGAUGAUGGACGUCACCAGUGCUUCGCUUGCCUGCAUCGCUCUGCUAGCGCUCGGGAAGCCCACUCUCCCAGCCCGCUUGGCUGUUCCUGAAUUCAGAGCACAAGAGCUCGACUUCGUGAGAUAUUUGGGAUUGCUCGUUCGACUUACCGCUUCGCCCGCUCUCAAGCGAAAAGAAACAGGCCAGACGUGUGCUACAGAAGACGAACGGAAGCGCGACACGGGAGGUCCCGGCGGCGCUGGUCAGCCCCUCUCCACCCUCCUCCUUCUCCCAUCUCUCCGGCGGAUCCGCUCCUCCCCUGUGUGCCUACCUCUCUCUCCGCGCACCUGCCUCCCUCCUCGCGAGCCCGUCCUCCCUCCCCAUGCGUCCGCCCCACUGGCCGUCGUUGGCCUGACCCACCACCGCGCGCAUGCCCCCAUGGCAGAUGGCUCCCGUCCCUCCCCGUGCGUCCGUCCCACUAGCCCCCUCCCUUUCCUAGGCAGAAAACCCAAUCCCCUGAUCCCUUCAAACCCCCACACUAUGUGCUGA